This 950-nucleotide ribosomal RNA is filed under the name uncultured organism. RNAcentral describes it as "bacterial SSU rRNA". It matches the Rfam family "Bacterial small subunit ribosomal RNA", at positions 44 to 1010 of the family's 1533-position model. The record is from RNAcentral.
GUGCUUAACACAUGCAAGUCGAACGAGAAAGCUCCUUCGGGAGUGAGUACAGUGGCGAACGGGUGCGUAACACGUUGGUGACCUGCCUUGAGGAGGGGGACAACCGUGGGAAACCACGGCUAAUACCCCGGAUGUCUAAACUGUUAGAGGGUUUAGACUAAAACUUCGGUGCCUCAAGAGGGGCCUGCGGGCUAUCAGCUUGUUGGUGGGGUAAUGGCCUACCAAGGCUAAGACGGCUAGGGGGCGUGAGAGCGCGACCCCCCACAAUGGAACUGAGACACGGUCCAUACUCCUACGGGAGGCAGCAGUGAGGAAUAUUGCGCAAUGGGGGAAACCCUGACGCAGCAACGCCGCGUGAACGAUGAAGGCCUUCGGGUCGUAAAGUUCUGUUCUAAGGGAAGAUAGUGACGGUACCUUAGGAAUAAGUCCCGGCUAACUACGUGCCAGCAGCCGCGGUAAAACGUAGGGGGCGAGCGUUAUCCGGAUUUAUUGGGCGUAAAGCGCACGUAGGUGGCGCUGUAAGUUAGACGUGAAAGCUCUCGGCUCAACUGAGAGAGGUCGUUUAAAACUGCAGUGCUUGAGGUUAGAAGAGGAGAGCAGAAUUCCCGGUGUAGUGGUGGAAUGCGUAGAUAUCGGGAGGAGUACCAGUGGCGAAGGCGGCUCUCUAGUCUACACCUGACACUGAGGUGCGAAAGCGUGGGUAGCGAACGGGAUUAGAUACCCCGGUAGUCCACGCUGUAAACGAUGGAUACUAGGUGUAGGGGGUCAUUUAACCCCUCUGUGCCGAAGCAAACGCGUUAAGUAGCCCGCAUGGGGACGACGGCCGCAAGGUUAAAACGCAAAGGAAUUGACGGGGGCCCGCACAAGCAGCGGAGCGUGUGGUUUAAGUCGAGGAUACGCGAAGAACCUGACCCGGGCGGAACGACGUGGUAGUAGUGAAGCGAAAGCGG